Pelobates cultripes (western spadefoot toad) is the source of this 3532-nucleotide non-coding RNA. NCBI's taxonomy places the organism in Eukaryota, Metazoa, Chordata, Amphibia, Anura, Pelobatidae. The record is from the annotation of a GenBank genome assembly.
AGAAGUUUAAAAUAAAACUAUUGUUAACCUGGUCAGUCAAAAGCCUCCAAUGUUUCCUCAGACUCUAUUUCAACCAAUUAAAAAGUUUUUAUUUUACGAAAAGUUAAUUUACAGCUGGUUUUAAAUUAACACUAUAGCACUAACAUUAUAGUGUCCCUGUGCCUAUGUAGAGUAGUGGCCCAAACCGUGUGAAAUAAAAAUGAAAAAAAAAAAAGGGUUUGCUUAUCUGUUUUCAGCACUGAGACUGACAGCCAUACUUAACCCACUGAGGUUUCUACAAAAUGUCAAUGUUUCACCUUUGGGGGUUGAACCAACAGGACCACUGCACUCAGACCACUUAAUUGAGAUUGGCUUUAGUGGUCCUUUAAACAUCUGAAUGCAAUUCCCUAUAUAUUAUCUUCUUGUUGAACUAAAGAAGUGGACCUCUGAAAUAAUUUAUUUGCCAUUCUCUCUCACUCACUACCCUCAAUAUAGUGCAUUAGGCAGGAGUCUAUGUACCCUAUAUCCAUAUGUAUAUGAUUUUGUUAUACUUGUUUAUAAAAUCCCCUCAAUUUCUUCAUGUCGUGAACUAAGUCUUGCUGAUCUAUACUGUAGAAUAGAAUGAUGUAGAUGAGGUACUUUAUUUCUUUUUUGAAAUAUACAGUGAUUUCAAAAUCACAACAAAGACAGAUGCUUAAUGUAUAAUUACCCGCAUUAGCAAUUUCUUUUUAUCUAACUAAGAGUAAAUACAUUUUUGAUAGCAGUUCAGAGAAAAGCAUCGACUUGUUUCAAACCAUAAAUAGCAUUGCUAUUAUUCUGCAUUUUCACAGAUUUGUUAGUUUUAUGGCCUGGAUCCCCAAUUAUUUGAUGCUUAACAGGAGGAAAUGUUCAGUCUACGUAACUCUCCUGCAAUCGGGCCUCAGUUUGAUAAUUGCUCAAUGAGUUUUGUCUGCAAGAGAGGUCAUAAUUAACCGAAAAUGAGACAACCAAUUUAGGUAUAAUUAUGACCCUCUUUAAACAAUUGCAAUAGUUGUUAAUCUAAAACAGUUUUGUAAUGGGAUCAGAUAUGGUAAUAUGAUUAAAGAGACACCCUGUGGAUUUCUGUAUCAUUAGAAGACUGUUAAUGGCUGCAUAUUUUAAAAAAGCAUAACGCAUUCUCCUAGUUAAGGAGAAUCUGUCAUUCAAAAAUAACAACAUUUUAUAGUGUUUACAUGUUACCUAUAAAUUAGUGUUGCUGCUAGAAAAUGGUAUAGAUCAAAUAAUUUCCGUACUGUGGUGGAUAUAGGCCUACCUGUGGCAUUCCACUAAGACUAGUAUGGUGUGAAACUUUUCACAUAUGUAUUUACAUCUACUAGGGUGACCAUCUUGAAUGUAUCCAUAUGCUUUCGAUUUUGUUAUAUCAUUGUAUGUAAUGAAUUGUAAUACCUUUCGCAAGUUGGACCUGUCAUCCCCAUUGAAGGAGUAAUUAUAGUGUAACUUUAGGUAGCUACUUGGGGCCCAUGGAUGAGGCAGAGGGCCUGGAACCACAAAUUUUCUUGGAUCCAUUCACCAUCCCUAUGUGAACAAUAAGGGGCCCCAAAACAGUAAAAUGCCUAGAACCCUGUGGGACCUUACUUCACACACAUGUAGAUUACAGAUCUACUUUAAAGUGGCAUUAUGCAUUGGUUUUGCGUUAUUAUUCUUCACAGAAACAAAAUUGAAAAUUCAAAUGCAGCCCAAGUACGUUUAAAAGGACAUUAUUAUUCUUAUAUUUUUUCUGAUUUGUGGGGCUUUUAACUAUUCAGUUAUUCACUAAUAUUGCAAAAUAGACACUACAUUAGUUGUGACUGUAACUGAAUUAGAUUUUUUAAAAUCUGCUAUUUUUGCCUAAGUUUUUUUAUUUUUUAUUCCCUACUGUUCGAUGUUGUGGUUUACACAGGCAGAAACACCUGACAACUUAUAGGACUGGAAACGAGUGUUGGGAGUAAUACUGUGCCCCAGUCAAUCACCACUAGCUGAAAGCAGUGUAAGGUCAUCUCUCAUUGCUAGUGCAGGGUACCAAUGAAUGCAAGCUGGUGACAUUCUAAAAAAUGCAGAAAUGCAGCAUACCUGUCCAAGUAGCCUAACAGACAUUCUAAAACAAUUAUCAUAUUUUUUCUCUAGUGAUAUAUCAUAAAAUUACUUAAAAAUGACCUUUAAAAAAAAAAAAAAUUGGGUGGGAUCUCAUUCAUUUUACAGUUUUAUUCCAGCAUCACAUUAACCUAACAAGUGGCAAUUAUCCUAAUAAGUCUUAUUGGCCAUAGAUAGUCUAUCUUACUGCCUUGUAUUAAUUGCUGUGCUCUCACACUUCCUUUCAUUAAGACAUGACGUGCAAAUGGGCAUUGAUGAUAUUACACCCACAUAUCACAGAUCAUAAAAAAUUAUGAAUAUUAUAUACAUACAAUUUUCCUAUGAGAUACCCUGCCUUGCUAGUGUGGCUUAUUUAUGUUGCUUCUGAAUGCAAGGGAUCGUUGGAGCUACAUGCUCUGGUUUGUCAGUCUAGAGUGGCGCAGAAGGCAGACUCCUGAAAGUUGCGUUGCCUCAAUGAAGAAUCUAAGUUUCACUUUUAAAAUAAAAAAAAAGUUAAAUUUGGGGAAUGUUUGACUCUAAGAAUACAUUUGAUCAAUUGUAAAGAUGUUUUAAAGCAUUCUGACUGAGAGUGCUCCAUAAGAACUAUUAAAUAAAUACAUUUAAUAUAAGUUAUAGACUGUUUGAAUUGAUUUAUAAUAAUAUGGAAACACUGCGUGUGAAGGGUCAAUUCAUAGUUUUGUUUCGCAUUUGUAUACUAAUCUACUUCCUGUUAUAUCGGCAGCACAGGGAGGAACCAGCAUCCUUGCUCUAAAAUAUGAGAAUCUCUUUUCUGUGGCCAUUUUUGACAAAAAUCCAUAACAGAUAAGUCUGCCAAAAAUACAGUGGCAGAAAAAAAGAAAAAAAAAACGUGAGACAUUAAACCUUUCUGGUGGAGAAAAUUGAUGAAAAGAUUGAUAAUUUGUUGCACAGCCCAAAAAAAUUGCGUACGAUCUAAAAUGAAGGGUGCUAAAGACGCAGACAAAAAGCCCCAAUUUAGUUUGCCCCCACAGAAAAAAAUGAGCAUAACUGACUGUGGCACUUUUCAGCUUGUUCCUGUUAAUGCCAUUUUAUGACCAAGUUAUCUUAACGGUACAAAAUACCCGACACCUUAACAGAAAGUCUAACGUUGUAUACCACACUACCAAUUCUAAGUAAGCAGGAUAUUUCAUCACAGUCUAAUAUUUUUAAAGAUCAGAUUAUUGCAAAGGAGUUCUGCAAUAGUUUGUCCUUAACGGGUUGAAUAUUAUUUGCAUAUGAAAGUAGGGACAUUGGGUUUAUUUAUUAAAAGAAAACUUAGGCUUUUGGAAGAACUUCCAAAAAGAUUAUUUUCUGCAACUUUGAUUCAGCUUUGCUAGUGCACAUAGCCGCAGUGGUUUAGAAGACUUUCCAAUUGGUUAAACGCAGCAAAACAAAUGAAACACAUAAUGGUGACGGAAUGUGUGUAUGCUUGUAUGAAUAAAUUAUG